RNAcentral lists this ribosomal RNA (497 nucleotides) under uncultured bacterium. Its description in RNAcentral is "partial 16S ribosomal RNA". It matches the Rfam family "Bacterial small subunit ribosomal RNA", at positions 28 to 507 of the family's 1533-position model. The record is from RNAcentral.
GAUGAACGCUGGCGGCGUGCCUAAUACAUGCCAGUCGAGCGAACAGGCGAGGAGCUUGCUCCUUCGACGUUAGCGGCGGACGGGUGAGUAACACGUAGGUAACCUACCUAUAAGACUGGGAUAACUUCGGGAAACCGGAGCUAAUACCGGAUAAUAUUUCGAACCGCAUGGUUCGAUAGUGAAAGAUGGCUUUGCUAUCACUUAUAGAUGGACCUGCGCCGUAUUAGCUAGUUGGUAAGGUAACGGCUUACCAAGGCAACGAUACGUAGCCGACCUGAGAGGGUGAUCGGCCACACUGGAACUGAGACACGGUCCAGACUCCUACGGGAGGCAGCAGUAGGGAAUCUUCCGCAAUGGGCGAAAGCCUGACGGAGCAACGCCGCGUGAGUGAUGAAGGUCUUCGGAUCGUAAAACUCUGUUAUUAGGGAAGAACAAACGUGUAAGUAACUGUGCACGUCUUGACGGUACCUAAUCAGAAAGCCACGGCUAACUACGUG